UUUUGACCUCAGUUCAGACAAGGCUACCCGCCGAAUUUAAGCAUAUUACUAAGCGGAGGAAAAGAAAAUAACAAUGAUUCCCCUAGUAACGGCGAGCGAACCGGGAAGAGCCCAACUUGGAAAUCUGGAGGCUUGUCCUUCCGAAUUGUAGUCUAGAGUAGUGCCAUCUGCGGCUGGCCGGUCCCAAGUUCCCUGGAAAGGGACGUCAGAGAGGGUGAGAGCCCCGUCGAGGCCGGUUUAGUCGCUCCACGAUGCGCUUACAAGGAGUCGGGUUGUUUGGGAAUGCAGCCCUAAGCGGGAGGUAAAUUCCUUCUAAGGCUAAAUAUUGGCGAGAGACCGAUAGCGAACAAGUACCGCGAGGGAAAGAUGAAAAGACCUUUGAAAAGAGAGUUAAAAAGUACCUGAAAUUGUUGAGGGGGAAGCGAUUCAAACCUGUGGGUGCUCCCGGGGCAGUAGCAAUACACGCGCUCGGGGCUGGUCAACGUGGGUUAGCUUGGAAGGAUAUCACUUCCGAGUUGACCGAGGACUCGACGUUGGCGGAAAGGUUUGCAUUGACCCGUCUAGAAACACGGACCAAGGAGUCUAA
This 586-nucleotide ribosomal RNA is filed under the name uncultured Mamiellales. Its description in RNAcentral is "eukaryotic LSU rRNA". It matches the Rfam family "Eukaryotic large subunit ribosomal RNA", at positions 1 to 678 of the family's 3401-position model. Lineage: Eukaryota; Viridiplantae; Chlorophyta; Mamiellophyceae; Mamiellales. The record is from RNAcentral.